RNAcentral lists this ribosomal RNA (342 nucleotides) under Serratia marcescens. RNAcentral describes it as "bacterial LSU rRNA". It matches the Rfam family "Bacterial large subunit ribosomal RNA", at positions 1 to 370 of the family's 2925-position model. Lineage: Bacteria; Pseudomonadati; Pseudomonadota; Gammaproteobacteria; Enterobacterales; Yersiniaceae. The record is from RNAcentral.
GGGUUGUGAGGUUAAGUGACUAAGCGUACACGGUGGAUGCCUAGGCAGUCAGAGGCGAUGAAGGGCGUGCUAAUCUGCGAAAAGCGUCGGUAAGGUGAUAUGAACCGUUACAACCGGCGAUACCCGAAUGGGGAAACCCAGUGUGUUUCGACACAUUAUCAUGUCAUGAAUACAUAGUGGCAUGAGGCGAACCGGGGGAACUGAAACAUCUAAGUACCCCGAGGAAAAGAAAUCAACCGAGAUUCCCCCAGUAGCGGCGAGCGAACGGGGAGGAGCCCAGAACCUGAAUCGGCUUGUGUGUUAGUGGAAGCGUCUGGAAAGUCGCGCAGUAAAGGGUGAUAG